RNAcentral lists this long non-coding RNA (199 nucleotides) under Elaeis guineensis (African oil palm). RNAcentral's name for it is "long non-coding RNA (EGUI_LNC002473)". Lineage: Eukaryota; Viridiplantae; Streptophyta; Magnoliopsida; Arecales; Arecaceae. The record is from RNAcentral.
UUCCUCCAAUUCAUCUUGCAUGUCGAGGCCUUCAAUAGGUAGGGAAUCCAUAGGGCCCUUUCCUUGCAAGGUUGCCAUGUAACAUUGCCUCGCCAACACUUGGUCUCUUAAUUUGUACUUCACCAAUCUAUUUUUAGUUGGAAACCUCAUCAGUAGGUGAUAUGUCAAUAUGAUAACCCAGAGUACAUUAAGUCCUGAU